CGGACCGGUCUAACGGCUACAGCUCCCGUCUGCAGAUGCUGGAAACACCGGACAUCUCUCUCCUCGUCGGAGCAGGUUAUUAAUGCCCGGGUCGCGCCUUUGUGAAACUUAUAUAAUCUAAAACACGCUUUCCUUUUUGAGGCAGGGGCCUUGGCAGCUUGAUUGAGGAUUAGAUCCUCAAAGAAGUUUCUUCUUUCUCUGCUAGUGGGGACCUUGAUGUGGAAAACCUCUCCGUACUCCAUCCGAAACAAUUCCUGCACCUGAGACAUGAAAAGUGAGAGGGUGUCACUCUGCUUCCCAUACCUCCACGCUGAGUUGGUCAUAGUGCAGGUUGCACGUAGCCAGAAGCAGUAUAGGAGCAAAGGCAGGGAUGGAGCUGAGCAGGCUGAGGAAGGUGGCUCUUAAGGCCGGACCCACUGUUUCCCACCACUGUCCAAUGUGAGGGAUGUACAGGAUACUGGGAGAGGUCCGCUUUGCUUCAACAAAGAUCUACAGAACAUAUGACAUAGACGCAUUAAUAUAUGAAAUGGAUAUUUAAAAAACUGAAUGUAAACUUACAGAUACAUAAGAUGGGGGACAAUAUGAUGAGCCAAUAAAGGCUAAAUGCAUAAAUCAAAGGUAUGGUGAGGACAUUAAAGAGUAGAGAGGAGAUGUACGGUGGCAUUAAACCAAUGGUGGAAGAAACAGUCAAUUAGUUUGAACAACCACUUUAAAAAUGAAUGACUUGUCAUUUUAAGCAAAAUAAAAAUGGGAGAAAAAACCCAA
Molecule: long non-coding RNA, 765 nt
Organism: Epinephelus lanceolatus (giant grouper)
Lineage: Eukaryota; Metazoa; Chordata; Actinopteri; Perciformes; Serranidae
Source: RefSeq, a predicted model, not a curated record